CCAGUUUCAGAUUCGGUGAUAUCGGCUUCAACAAACACUGGCCCAGCCCCAGGGCAGUGGUAUCGAACCUGUGCCACGGGAGCUGCAGCAGGCUCUUUGGAUCACAGAAAGCUCUAAGAUGUUCACCAUCACUGAUCUAAGGUUUUUCUUUAAAUGUUACCAUCUGCAGGAGAGCAAAUGUCAGAGAGAAGCGCAGGGGGCCUCUGCCGUCAGUGGUGACAGUCCGUCCAGCAGCAGACUGGAGACAAGUGAACAAGCUCUUCUCAGACAAUGAAUGUAUUGCAUGCAGGUGCUUAGAGAUCUGGUGAGACUCGAGCAUAAACUCCAUCCAAGUCUU
RNAcentral lists this long non-coding RNA (337 nucleotides) under Fukomys damarensis (Damara mole-rat). RNAcentral's name for it is "lncRNA (ENSFDAG00000031689.1)". Lineage: Eukaryota; Metazoa; Chordata; Mammalia; Rodentia; Bathyergidae. The record is from RNAcentral.